ACCUGGACACACCUGGGGACACCUGGACACACCUGGGGACACCUGAGCUCACCUGGGGUCACCUGGACACACCUGAGCUCACCCAAAUCCCCAGAGUGAGCCCUGAGCCUCAGGUGUGACCCCAGGAAUGUCCAAUUGUCCCCAGGUGUGUCCCCAGGUGUGACCCCAGGUGUGACCCCAGGAAUAUCCAAUUGUGUGACCCCAGGAAUGUCCAAUUGUCCCCAGGUGUGUCCCAGGUGUGUCCCUGACCUUCACAGGUGUGUCCCCACAUCCCCAGGGGUGUCCCCAUAUCUCCAGGUGUCUCCAGGUGUGUCCACAGGUGUGUCCCAGGUGUCCCCAGGUGUGUCCCCAGGUGUGUCCCAGGUGUCCCCAUGUCCUCAGGUGUCCUCAGGUGUGUCCCCACGUGCCCAGGAUGCACUCAGGUGUGCCCAGGUGUUUCCCUGUCAUUCCCAGGUGUGUCCCCAUGUCCCCAGGUGUGUCCCCACGUCUCCAGGGGUGUCCCAGGUGUAUCCCCAUAUCCCCAACUGUCCCCAGGUGUCCCCACGUGUCCCCAGGUGAGACUCACGCUGUGCAGGUUGUUGUAGAAGUCCACGCUCCCGGCGCACAGGUAGCGGCCUAGCAGGGUGGCGUGCGUGGUGAAGAUGGUGGCCACGGGCAAGCGCCGGGCGCGGC
Poecile atricapillus (Black-capped chickadee) is the source of this 672-nucleotide long non-coding RNA. RefSeq lists it as uncharacterized. The record is from RefSeq and is a predicted model, not a curated record. NCBI's taxonomy places the organism in Eukaryota, Metazoa, Chordata, Aves, Passeriformes, Paridae. The transcript is spliced from 3 exons.